This 898-nucleotide long non-coding RNA is filed under the name Marmota monax (woodchuck). The stretch from base 799 to 870 matches the Rfam family "tRNA". Lineage: Eukaryota; Metazoa; Chordata; Mammalia; Rodentia; Sciuridae. The record is from RNAcentral.
UUUGGUUGGCUUCCUAUAAUGAAUUAAAUGUCCUUCACAAUGUUUUUUUUUUAAAUUUUUUAUUGUUGGUUGUUCAAAACAUUACAAAUUUCUUGAUAUCCUUCACAAUGUUUUUGAAUGAAAUAUGGUAGAGGCUAUUUGGACACCAGUAUAAUUCUAAAACAAAAACCCCAUUAGGAUGUGCUUCUAAUGUUUUAUAAAGUAAUUCUAUACAGUGGUGGCUUUAUUCCAACGUGAAUAAUUCUUGCUAACAAUUCUUGCAGUAAACUUUGUUGCUUUGUUAUCUUUCAUGGAAAAAAAUUAAUCAGGAAUUGUUCACAAAUUGUAGUUUGAAAAUGCCAGUUUAAGGAGAUGAGAUCAAGUAAAUACCUGGGUGCUAACCACAGGCACAAGAAACAGAAACUAUGAAGUCUCCUGAGCUGCUGCCUUGUCUCAUCCCCCAAAUAGAAACUCCAUCCUGAAUCUUGGGUUAACUGUUCCUUUCCAUUUCUUUAAAGAAUUUUACAAUAAUUGUAUCAUCCCCAAUUAAAUGUUAAUUCAUUCUGCCUGUUUAUAACCUUCCUGCUGCAUGUGUGUUUCUGUGAUGCACAUAACAUGUAGAAGCCUUAUCCCUCCUGUGCAAGGCUGUCCUUCAUUUACUUUAAUGCAGAAGUUUUACUUUUGAUGAUUAUACCACCAUGUGGUACUUUCCUGUGGAUGUAAAAGUGGUUGAUUCCACUCUGCCAUAAACAUUAGUGCACAUGUCUCCUGUACACACAGGCAAGAAAGAUCUCAAGCAUAAAAUCAGGAAUAGGGGGCUGGGGUGUUGCUCAGUGGUAGAGCAUUCAACUAGCAUGUGUGAGGCACUGGGUACAAUCCUCAGCACCACAUAAAAAUAAAUAAAUAAAAUAAAAUAAAG